UGGUUCUGGCAUCGAUGAAGAACGCAGCGAAAUGCGAUAAGUAAUGUGAAUUGCAGAAUUCAGUGAAUCAUCGAAUCUUUGAACGCACAUUGCGCCCCCUGGCAUUCCGGAGGGCAUGCCUGUUCGAGCGUCAUUUCGUCCUUCAAGCCCCCGCUUGGUGUUGGGCGCAGGCCUUUUAUCCAAAAGCCCGCCCGCAACUCUUCGGCGGCAGGCACCGUCCCCGAGCGUAGCAGAUUUUACUCGCUCCGGUCAACGGCCGCCCGCCCGCCGGCGAAAAUAAAAACUCCUGAAGUUUGACCUCGGAUCAGGUAGGGAUACCCGCUGA
RNAcentral lists this unclassified non-coding RNA (325 nucleotides) under uncultured fungus. RNAcentral's name for it is "partial contains 5.8S ribosomal RNA and internal transcribed spacer 2". The stretch from base 1 to 133 matches the Rfam family "5.8S ribosomal RNA", at positions 22 to 154 of the family's 154-position model. The record is from RNAcentral. Lineage: Eukaryota; Fungi.